This 1305-nucleotide ribosomal RNA is filed under the name Vibrio parahaemolyticus. RNAcentral's name for it is "bacterial SSU rRNA". It matches the Rfam family "Bacterial small subunit ribosomal RNA", at positions 79 to 1380 of the family's 1533-position model. The record is from RNAcentral. Lineage: Bacteria; Pseudomonadati; Pseudomonadota; Gammaproteobacteria; Vibrionales; Vibrionaceae.
ACGAUAACGGCGUCGAGCGGCGGACGGGUGAGUAAUGCCUAGGAAAUUGCCCUGAUGUGGGGGAUAACCAUUGGAAACGAUGGCUAAUACCGCAUGAUGCCUACGGGCCAAAGAGGGGGACCUUCGGGCCUCUCGCGUCAGGAUAUGCCUAGGUGGGAUUAGCUAGUUGGUGAGGUAAGGGCUCACCAAGGCGACGAUCCCUAGCUGGUCUGAGAGGAUGAUCAGCCACACUGGAACUGAGACACGGUCCAGACUCCUACGGGAGGCAGCAGUGGGGAAUAUUGCACAAUGGGCGCAAGCCUGAUGCAGCCAUGCCGCGUGUGUGAAGAAGGCCUUCGGGUUGUAAAGCACUUUCAGUCGUGAGGAAGGUAGUGUAGUUAAUAGCUGCAUUAUUUGACGUUAGCGACAGAAGAAGCACCGGCUAACUCCGUGCCAGCAGCCGCGGUAAUACGGAGGGUGCGAGCGUUAAUCGGAAUUACUGGGCGUAAAGCGCAUGCAGGUGGUUUGUUAAGUCAGAUGUGAAAGCCCGGGGCUCAACCUCGGAAUUGCAUUUGAAACUGGCAGACUAGAGUACUGUAGAGGGGGGUAGAAUUUCAGGUGUAGCGGUGAAAUGCGUAGAGAUCUGAAGGAAUACCGGUGGCGAAGGCGGCCCCCUGGACAGAUACUGACACUCAGAUGCGAAAGCGUGGGGAGCAAACAGGAUUAGAUACCCUGGUAGUCCACGCCGUAAACGAUGUCUACUUGGAGGUUGUGGCCUUGAGCCGUGGCUUUCGGAGCUAACGCGUUAAGUAGACCGCCUGGGGAGUACGGUCGCAAGAUUAAAACUCAAAUGAAUUGACGGGGGCCCGCACAAGCGGUGGAGCAUGUGGUUUAAUUCGAUGCAACGCGAAGAACCUUACCUACUCUUGACAUCCAGAGAACUUUCCAGAGAUGGAUUGGUGCCUUCGGGAACUCUGAGACAGGUGCUGCAUGGCUGUCGUCAGCUCGUGUUGUGAAAUGUUGGGUUAAGUCCCGCAACGAGCGCAACCCUUAUCCUUGUUUGCCAGCGAGUAAUGUCGGGAACUCCAGGGAGACUGCCGGUGAUAAACCGGAGGAAGGUGGGGACGACGUCAAGUCAUCAUGGCCCUUACGAGUAGGGCUACACACGUGCUACAAUGGCGCAUACAGAGGGCAGCCAACUUGCGAAAGUGAGCGAAUCCCAAAAAGUGCGUCGUAGUCCGGAUUGGAGUCUGCAACUCGACUCCAUGAAGUCGGAAUCGCUAGUAAUCGUGGAUCAGAAUGCCACGGUGAAUACGUUCCCGGGCC